GUCGGGAAACCGGAAAACGCUUCCAAUGGCUGUGUUUCCGGCGGCGGCGCGGGGGCAGCUGGGAAUCCGGAAUGCUGCCCGAUGGCCCUGGGUCCUCGCUGUGGGGCAAUCCGGGCUUGCAGACGAGGUAAGGUCGAUUCCAUUUGGCCCGGGGAUGGUCACACGCGCGGGGGCCGCAACUGCCGUCGCCGGCGCGGUCGUUGUCGCAUUGCUCUCGGCCGCACUCGCGCUGUACGGGCCGCCACUGGACGCAGUUUUAGAAAGAGCAUUUUCGCUACGUAAAGCACAUUCGAUAAAGGAUAUGGAAAAUACUUUGCAGCUGGUGAGAAAUAUUAUACCUCCUCUGUCUUCCACAAAGCACAAAGGGCAAGAUGGAAGAAUAGGCGUAGUUGGAGGCUGUCAGGAGUACACUGGAGCCCCAUAUUUUGCAGCAAUCUCAGCUCUCAAAGUGGGCGCAGAUUUGUCCCACGUGUUCUGUGCCAGUGCGGCCGCACCUGUGAUUAAGGCCUACAGCCCGGAGCUGAUCGUCCACCCAGUUCUCGACAGCCCCAAUGCUGUUCGUGAGGUGGAGAAGUGGCUGCCCCGGCUGCAUGCUCUCGUCGUAGGACCUGGCUUGGGUAGAGAUGAUGCGCUUCUCAGAAAUGUCCAGGGCAUUUUGGAAGCGUCAAAGGCCAGGGACAUCCCUGUUGUCAUCGACGCGGAUGGCCUGUGGCUGGUCGCUCAGCAGCCGGCCCUCAUCCAUGGCUACCGGAAGGCUGUGCUCACUCCCAACCACAUGGAGUUCAGCAGACUGUAUGACGCUGUGCUCAGAGGCCCUAUGGACAGCGAUGACAGCCAUGGAUCUGUGCUAAGACUCAGCCAAGCCCUGGGCAACGUGACGGUGGUCCAGAAAGGAGAGCGCGACAUCCUCUCCAACGGCCAGCAGGAGGCUGCCUCCAACCCUUGGAACAAACAGGGAAGAGCCGUAGCAGGCAGGAUGUGAGUGGAGCCUCAGGCUGCUCCUGGAGGGUGUGGCUCUGCCUGCCGUGCGGCCUUCCACACCCGUGGCUACUGUCACAUUCACACACAUGGCCAUGCUGACACCUGCUCUCACUUCUGCCCUGUGCAGUGCUUGUGUGCAGCCAGGAAGGCAGCAGCCGCAGGUGUGGAGGGCAAGGGGACCUCCUGUCGGGCUCCCUGGGCGUCCUGGUACACUGGGCGCUGCUUGCUGGACCAGAGAAAACAAAUGGGUCCAGCCCUCUCCUGGUGGCCGCGUUUGGCGCCUGCUCUCUCACCAGGCAGUGCAACCACCAAGCCUUCCAGAAGCACGGUCGCUCCACCACCACCUCCGACAUGAUCGCCGAGGUGGGGGCGGCCUUCAGCAAGCUCUUCGAAACCUGAGCCCACGCAGACCAGAAGUAAACAGGCACCUUGGACGGGGGAGAGCGUGUGUGUGAUGGGAAAAUCCGGACCCACGCGUGUGCUGAAGGCGCACGGUGCUUGCCAGAUUUUCAACUUGAGCAUAAAUUGGUUGCCGUUGAGAAUUUAAGAAUCUGGAAUAUUGCAACUUUCGGUUAAACUUAAUGCAUGGUUGGAGAUGUUAUGGCGACACUAAACAAAGUAUUCCUGAACUUUCCUUAGCUCCUUGGUAGUAACUGGGAAGACAGAAAUGAAGAAAAUCACAUGAGAAUGAAGAAUUCUUUAGCAGCUCAACAGAAUUUCUUUCUCGGCCUGCUCCCAAAUCGGCGAAGUUUCUACUUGUUACUCUCUCUGCCGACGCCCUUCAUUUCUCCCCCGCUUCCCUUCCCUAGUCUUUCCUCCGGCAGGGAGCUGGGCAGGGGUCCCCGGGUGUCUCCCUGAGUCCCGACUGCACUGACUGGGUCCAUCAGAGGGCUGCUUCGUUCUCCAGCUCAUCUUCUUUUAAAGUGGUGACUAGCUUGGUGGUAUCUGGCUGCUGGUAUUUGGCUUAUUGACAUACUCCAGGGUAAUCAAUGAUGACUUUGUUGGCAACCCUUUUGGAGGCACCAUGGGAACAGAAGGAAACAUGAAUGAUGCUGACCCUUGAGUGUGUGGGUGGGGAGCUCUGAGACGCCUCCUGUCCCACGCUCUCCGGUGUCCCUGUCUACACAGGGGUCCCCAUGAUACCCACCAGCCCCAGCAGGGCAGACCGGACCGGGGACGGGCACGGUGAAGGGCUGCAGCCUGGGGUCUGACGUGGCCCCUAGUGCUGUCUCAGGAGAAGGCUCUGGAGGACUUGGGGCAUGCUGGGCCUGGUGCAGUGAUGGCGCUAAGGAGACCCGGGGAAAGACAGUAUCGUGGUCACGUACGCUUAGGAAGCAGCACAGCCAUGUCCUCAGGGAUGUUCGCGUCCAGUAAAGACACUGGUAACUGCAGUUUCAGCAAACACGCUUCAUGGCAGUGUCGACCUCGGGUUAGCUUCUGUUGUCUUUGUGGAUGGUUUUCCUGGAGCGGCCUGACAUUGACGUGUUCUCUGGUCCCAUGUCUUAGCGGGGCGUGGUACGGUUUCGUGCCUGACGCGUGCAUUAGGGUGUUCUCUUAUACUUUCAGUAGCGUCUUUCCACAGCAAGGGCAAACCCUCCUGGUUCCCUUCAGAGUCUUUUUGGCCUGAUGAUGACUCUUGAGUGAUACCCUGUGAUGCAGACAUGCCCCAGAUGGAUUCUACUUUCUUUAAAACUAGGAACUUUCAAGAUUAAAAAAAAGAUUGUCACUACUAAUUUGACACCUAACUUCAGAAGCUUCACUGUCUACAUGUGAACUUUUCCAGAAAAACUGUGCCAUGGACAUUUUUCCACUGGGGAAUUAACAUCUAAAUUCUGGUAACUAUUAAAAGACAGAUCUGGUUAAUUUAAA
This is an RNA transcript of Pan troglodytes (chimpanzee), 2850 nucleotides long. It is a transcript of the gene named NAD(P)HX dehydratase, with no coding region annotated. The transcript is spliced from 10 exons. Lineage: Eukaryota; Metazoa; Chordata; Mammalia; Primates; Hominidae. The record is from RefSeq and is a predicted model, not a curated record.